ACGGGUGAGUAACGCGUAAAGAACUUGCCUCACAGUUAGGGACAACAUUUGGAAACGAAUGCUAAUACCUGAUAUUAUGAUUUUAGGGCAUCCUAAGAUUAUGAAAGCUAUAUGCGCUGUGAGAGAGCUUUGCGUCCCAUUAGCUAGUUGGAGAGGUAACGGCUCACCAAGGCGAUGAUGGGUAGCCGGCCUGAGAGGGUGAACGGCCACAAGGGGACUGAGACACGGCCCUUACUCCUACGGGAGGCAGCAGUGGGGAAUAUUGGACAAUGGACCAAAAGUCUGAUCCAGCAAUUCUGUGUGCACGAUGACGUUUUUCGGAAUGUAAAGUGCUUUCAGUUGGGAAGAAAAAAAUGACGGUACCAACAGAAGAAGUGACGGCUAAAUACGUGCCAGCAGCCGCGGUAAUACGUAUGGCACAAGCGUAUUCGGAUUUAUGGGCGGUAAAGGCGUUAAGGUGGUAUGUAAGUCUAAUGUGAAAUGCAGGGUCAACUCUGUAUGCGUUGGAAAUGCUGAUUAGGGUACGGAGAGGUAGCGGACUCCAUGUAAGGUAAUUCGUAAAUUGUAGAUGCCAUGGGAACCCUUACUGGACGAACGACCUAAGGCGAAGCGGGUAGAAAGAUAAUACUGGUAUCCC
RNAcentral lists this ribosomal RNA (637 nucleotides) under uncultured bacterium. Its description in RNAcentral is "bacterial SSU rRNA". It matches the Rfam family "Bacterial small subunit ribosomal RNA", at positions 102 to 796 of the family's 1533-position model. The record is from RNAcentral.